AGUUCAAUCUUUCCAGUAAGUAUAGGAAUAAGAGCUUGUGGUGUUCCAUCACCUACUAUAUUGUAUCCUUCUAGUAUUAAAGCUCCUAAGUAUUCUUUUAAAUACCGAUAUGUUUUUGGUAAUUUGCGUAUAAAUGUAUUUCUGGAUAGAGAAUCAAAGCCAAACAUAAGUACAUUUAGUUUAAGGGCCUUGUUUCCAACAUAUUCCCAUUUACUUUUCUCAUUUACUUCAGGAUCAUCCUUCACUCCGGCCAUAAUACUGUGCCAUCUAAAAAAUUGUGUAAAAUAUAAAUUUAACUAAUUUGUCAAUUGACUAUUUUUCUUACUAUGUUCUUCUUACUUAUUUCCAUCUUUUGAUUCACACUUAAUAUCAACAAAAUCGCUAUGUUUGAGAACAUAGAAAUCUUCAGACUCAACAGCAGGUUCGAAUAAUACAUUGUAAUCAUCAUCCCUAAGAAUUUCUGUGAACAAUUGAAAUAAUUAUGUCUAGUAUGUUCAAUAUGAACAUACGUCAUACAAUUUCAUAAAACUAACCACUGAAAGAGCAAAUUAUGGAUCCAUGUCUUUUUUUUGCUCUGCUGCUAAUAAUUAAUCUUGAACCAUGGAGAAUAACCCAAUUUUCUGGUGUACAUUGCAAAGUUUAUCCAGAUUUGACAAAUCAUUGUCACUAAAUCCCAGUUCUGAACGAAAAACUUGUACAACACAAAACAGCAGUAAGACAAAUAUAGCUGUUAUUGUGAAACGACGAAGAUAACAUGACAUAAUCCUCAUCUUUAUUUAGUAUAUCAUAUCUGGAAAACAAAUUGUAUACUUUUAUCCUAUAUUCUGCAUAUGAAUGUUCUAACUUUUGGAAAUAUUUCAGGGUAAUAAAUUUCUUUAAAAUUUAAUGUAGCUUUCAAAAACACUGUAAUUAAUAAUGUGAUUAAUAAGUGAAAACAUUUGUUUAUAUACAGUCACAAAAAUUUAUUAUACAUAUUAAUAAUUAGCAUUAGAAUUAGACAUCAACUUAAAUAACAAAAGGUCAAAUAAAAGAAAAAGAAAAAUCAAUCCAAAAAGAAACAUGCCAGUUAAACAAGUCUUUCUAUAUAUAAUUUUAAGUUUGUUAAUUUUGAAUUAAAUUAAUUGGCAGCAUUAGUAUGUAACACCUAUUAAACUAUUUCUUUUGAGCAGAACAUUGUAUAUAGUUUCUUACUAAAUCUAAUCCUUAAUAAAUUUAAAAAUUAAAAUUCAAGUCCUUUUUUUCUUGUUAUAAGAUUGCAUUACAAUUAUUAUAUAUUACUACAUUAUAGUUGAAAAGUUUCCUUUAAAAAAUUAACUGGCAAGUUUCUGUUAGCAUAAACGUACGUGAAAAUCGACAAUCCAGCAACUGGAUAAGUGACUUUCUAUAUAAUGGCAAUACUUAUUACGUUCGCAGCGUAGACGUAAACCCAAUCGAUUUUUUCUUAAAAGGAACCGUCGAAUUAGAGAGAAAUUUUAAGAUUUAAUGUAUAAAUAAUUAUGUAUUGUAUUGAGAUUUUUUCAAUAAGCUUCUUUUCCUGUUACUUCCACUAAUAUUAUAGGAGUGACGAGCAUAAAAUGAGCACAUUAAAAACAUUUAAAAACUUGAUGUUUCUUAAAGUUUGUUUUUCCUUUUUCUGCU
Molecule: unclassified non-coding RNA, 1638 nt
Filed under: Bombus terrestris (buff-tailed bumblebee)
Lineage: Eukaryota; Metazoa; Arthropoda; Insecta; Hymenoptera; Apidae
Description: misc RNA ENSBTSG00005032809.1
Source: RNAcentral